UCCCCGAUGGUCUAACGGUUAUGAUUUCCGCUUGUCACUGCAUCACUGCAACCUGAGAAGCGCGGGAGACCAGGGUUCGACUCCCUGUCGAGGAG
Onygenales sp. PD_40 is the source of this 95-nucleotide non-coding RNA. The record is from the annotation of a GenBank genome assembly. NCBI's taxonomy places the organism in Eukaryota, Fungi, Ascomycota, Eurotiomycetes, Onygenales.